UAAUGUCAAGUUGUCUUAAUAAGGACACUCCAAAGAAAUGUAAUGUCAAGUUGUCAUGACGAAGACAUCUUCUGGUAAUGUCAUCCUGGUUAAUGUCAAGUUGUCAUUACAACGACAUCCCAAACUAAUUUAAUGUCAAUUUGUCAUGACGAAGACAUCUUCUGGUAAUGUCAUCCUGGUUAAUGUCAAGUUGUCAUUACAACGACAUCCCAAACUAAUUUAAUGUCAAUGUGUCA
Molecule: long non-coding RNA, 236 nt
Organism: Sander lucioperca (pikeperch)
Lineage: Eukaryota; Metazoa; Chordata; Actinopteri; Perciformes; Percidae
Exons: 2
Source: RefSeq, a predicted model, not a curated record